AACAACGGUAAGAAUAAGCUUGUAGCGGGCUUAUGGAAACAUCUCAAAAUUAUGAGGUGAGCUUCUGCCACCAACGGAAACAAAUGAUUGGAUUGAUAUCAACAAGGAGACGAGAAACUUAUUUCACCGGGAGGACAAAUGAAGAACUUGGGUCAUUUAUAAGCACCAUAAAUAGCAACAAUCCUUAGGGAAAGCUUUAGGUGAAAUAUAACCCAAGAUAACUCCAAUGAAGAGAUUGAUGGAUUUAAAAUACCUCAUUCUUGACAACAUGUGAAUCAUGAAGCAUGAAGGGAAAUUGUCAAGAAUGACAUAACACCACCUCAAAAGAUAAGGUAGAAAGAAUUGCACUUCGGAAUGCAAGAUGAAGAAUGCUUGAACUCCUCAAAACAAAACAUGUGUUAAGCACCCUGUUUAAUUUUGAGUAUAGCUUGGCAGAUCAUAACUUCGAGAGAAAUCUUGAAAAUAAUAAUUGAACAAUGAAAGGAAUCCUUGACGAAGCACCAUGUAGAGCCUCCAUGAGAACACAAGGUGAAGCCUUGCGAUAAUUUAGAUGGAGCUUCGUGAUGAUAUAGCCGAGAAAAACUUGGAACUUCGGAGAGAAAGAUGAACAAAUUAAAUCAAGAAUUUUGAUGAACCUCCGGAAUAAGGAAUUGAAUUUUACUCGAUGAAACAAGAAUAAGACUUACAUUAUGCGUAUCCUUCACCAAUUUAGAUUGACGACAAGCAACGGAUUUUGCAUAAUACUUAUUCUCGUAGAAAGGAUUAAGAUAGAUAUUGCGCAAACUUGGAAGGUCUUCAUCGAACCACCGGUAGGAUUGAAACAACGAAUAAAUUGAUAUGUGACGAAGGAAGAGAAAUCUAGAACGAACCACCAUAAGAAUCUAAAAAUGAACGAAGAUAAGAUAAAGAAACACCGGGAAGAAUUAGAAAACGAAUAAAGAUACUUGACAGAAUUUAGAUACAAGUGAAACGAAGAGAUCAUGAAUUGAUUAGAGAAUACUUGAAUGAUGCACCGGUAAGAUUUGGAGAACAAGAGCUGAAUGUUGAGAACGAAUAAAUCUUCUGAAAUGAUGGUCUUCGGAGAAUCAAACUGAAAAGACUCAUGAAUUGCUCCGGAUGGGUGCAAAGAAUUCUCACAAUUGAAAACAAUUAUGAGCGGAUGGCAUCAAGCUAGAACCAUGAAUCUUGAAGAGAAUGGAGUAAGAUUUAAGAGAAACCCUUCUUCGGUUUUCAAAUGUUGAGAAUGACGAUGAGAAACACCACCAUGAAUUGUUGAGGCACUCCGGAAUGAAGAAUAGAAGGUUGAACCAACGAUGAAAGAAUUUGAAAGAUCUUGGAGAAAGACAUUUGACUGAUGAUAACUCAUUCUUACGUCAAACUUCGAAAAGAAUUUGGGAAUAGCUCCGGGAAAAUUAGAAUAGUCAGGUAAGAUCCUGGGAAAAGACCUGUAGGUUAGGGCCCACUCAAAAGAUACACCGUUGAACAAUUUAAAAGAGAGAUUGCGCCGGUUCAAUUAAAUGGCUUGAAUAAGGUAAGACCUUGAAAUAGCUACAAAGGAUUAAGAAUAGAAACAUGAAUCCUCUGAGAUACCUUCAGCACUCCAGAUAAACAUGAAUAGCAAGAGGUGGAUGAUUAAGAGGUGCACCGGCAUGAGAAAACAUUUGAAACGAGGAAAGGAUAUGAUCGACAAAGCUUGAAUUGAAUCCACCGGAGAAGAAAAAGAACAAAGAAUAAUAAACUUGAAGCUCCGUUAGUAUCUUCAUGGGAAAUCACCGGAUAAGAACAUUGAAAGAAAAUAAUGAAGAGACUUCGCAUCAAUAAAAAGGAUACUUGAUUAAGAAAUCUGAGUCCUUGAAGAAAAAGGGUGGGAGGGCGGGAAAACAAAGGCACUUGGGAUGGAUGAAACGAACUACUUUGGGAAACUGAGAGGUGAUCUUGCGAAUGUUGAAAUGAUCGGAUCCACUUGAAGAGAAGCACGCCGGUUGGAAAGAAUUGGAAUGACAAUCUCGAUGAUCAAGAAGGAUUACCACUCUCAUAGAAAUAUGAGAACACCGCUUAGGAAAGGUAUGGAAUCAACACUUGACAUUGAAGCAACUUGAAUACCUCAACUUAAAACAAAACAAAGGAUUGGUUUGCAGAAUAAGCCGGAACAAACAUAUGAUAGAGAUUUCGCUCAAAGUGUUCAUGAUGAGGCCCCACGGGCACGACGUACAGCGGACGUCACGAAUGACAAACAAGACGUCCCCGAAUCGGCAUAGCCAAGGAUUCUUUAAAACGCCCCGCGACCACUGUAAAUCGACCGUGAAAAGCGAACCACUAGACGUUGGACCCCAAUCUCAAAUCAUACAUCUGUCGAAAAGAUAUUCUAGGAGCUACUUGAAUUCCCACCUAUAAACACCUGAAACUUUCUGGUUAUGCAAUCUGGUGUUGGGGAUACAGGGGACGCAACAUAUCUCACCCAAACUAACAAUACCUAGAUCCAGUUGUAUCCAUCCGUCAACACAUAACCAAGAAAACUCUGGAAAUCGUGUACCUCAACCUUCGAAAAGCAUCCGUUAUACGAGUUAUGGAAAUACUCCCGAACUCCCGCCCCAGUGCUGCGUGGCGUCGAGGUGAUCUCACCAACAACUGCAUAAAAGAGAUUUUCGAUGUCGGCGAAACUCAGGUAUUCCAGAACUGAACGAUAAAAUUGAGACGAUAACACCUCGGAGCUCAACUCCCCGGGACACUGCCACAACCCCUAAAUGUCAGGAGGCACCAAGAACAAUGUUCUCGUCACAAAACUAUCAGAACGAUUCCAAGAUACCCGCGUGAUCCUAAAAAAAUAGUGAAAUUUGAGAAGAGGAAAGACAAAACAUCUACAUCAGGAGACCUCAACAGAGCGACGAGGGGACUGAGGAGUAAAAGAAUCCUACUCUCCGAUAUAUAUAAUCCUAAGACUCAAAACAUUUUUGUUCUAGACUCAACAACGUCAGCGAUUCGAUCAAGCAGGGGGCUCCUAAGUCGGGGAUGGCUCUGAUUACCAACUUGUAACACCCACGAUGCGGCUAUAUCUCCCACGUGUCGAGGCACGACUUGGAUGCAUAACCGCAUGGUGGUUUUGUCGCAAGAAGGGUCAUCUUCACACAAUCCCAUGUAAUGAACAAGAAUGGGAUAAAGAGAGUUGGCUUACAAUCGCCACUUCACACAAUACAUAAAUAAAACAUACAUCCAUCAGAGUACACACAUAGGUCCGACUACGGAACCAAAAGAAAAGAAGACAACCCCAAAUGCUAGAUCCCCGACCGUCCCAACUGGGCUCCACUACUGAUCCUCAGGUAACAAAACAUAGUAACGACCAAGUUCUUCAUCGAGCUCCCACUUGAGCUCGGUUGCGUCAUUUGCACUGGUAUCAUCGGCACCUGCAACUGUUUGGAAGUAUCUGGUGAGUCACGAGGACUCAGCAAUCUCACACCCGCGAGAUCAAGACUAUUUAAGCUUAUGGGUAGGAGAAGGUAGUGAGGUGGAGCUGCAGCAAGCACUAAGCAAAUAUGGUGGCUAACAUACGCAAAUAAGAGCGAGAAGAGAAGCAACGCAAUGGUCGUGAAGCUAGAAGUGAUCAAGAAGUGAUCCUGAAACUACUUACGCACAACCAUAACACAAGAACCGUGUUCACUUCCCGGACUCCGCCGAAAAGAGACCAUCACGGUUACACACGCGGUUGAUGUAUUUUAAUUAAGUCAAGUGUCAAGUUAUCUAUAACCGGACAUUAACAAAUUCCCAUCUGCCACAUAACCGCGGGCACGGCUCUCGAAAGUUUAUACCCUGCAGGGGUGUCCCAACUUAGCCCAUCACAAGCGCUCACGAUCAACGAAGGAUAUUCCUUCUCCCAGGAAGACCCGAUCAGACUCGGAAUCCCGGUUACAAGACAUUUCGACAAUGGUAAAACAAGACCAGCAAAGACCGCCCGGAUGUGCCGACAAAUCCCGAUAGGAGCUGCACAUAUCUCGUUCUUAGGGCACACCAGAUGGGCAAGACGUCGGGUUGGCAUAGACCCUGGUUGCCCAGGGGGCGUCGGACAUCGCCCAGGUUUGGACCAGCCCUCAGAGGAACACUGGCCCGGGGGGUUAAAAUAAAGAUGACCCUUGAGUCUGCAGAACCCAAGGGAAAAAGGCUUAGGUGGCAAAUGUUAAAACCAAGGUUGGGCCUUGCUGGAGGAGUUUUAUUCAAAGAGAACUGUCAAGGGGGUCCCAUAAAUCACCCAACCGCGUAAGGAACGCAAAAUCAAGGAACAUAACACCGGUACGACGGAAACUAGGGCGCCAAGAGUGGAACAAAACACCAGGCAUAAGGCCGAGCCUUCCACCCUUUACCAAGUAUAUAGAUGCAUUAAUUAAAUAAGAGAUAUUGUGAUAUCCCAACAUAUCCAUGUUCCAACAUGGAACAAACUUCAUCUUCGCCUGCAACUAGCAAUGCUAUAAGAGGGGCUGAGAAAAGUGUAACAUAGCCAAACAACGGUUUGCUAGGAAAGGUGGGUUAGAGGCUUGACAUGGCAAUAUGGGAGGCAUGAUAAACAAGUGGUAGGUAGCGCGACAUAGCGAUAGAGCGAACAACUAGCAAGCAAAGAUAGAAGUGAUAUCGAGGGUAAUGGUCAUCUUGCCUGAAAUCCCGCAAGGAAGAAGAACGAGUCCAUGAAGAAGACAAACGGUCGUAGUCGAACGAAUCCUCACAACUCCGGAACGAAACCGAAGCUAACGAGAGAAGCAACCCAGAAAGAAACAAACAACAUGGUAAACAACCAUCAUAUGAUCAUGGCAUGAUGCACAAUCAAGUAUGAUGCAUGUCCGGUUUAAUGAUUCAUGGCAUGGCAAAGUGCAACAAACAACACUACAAAUUAAGUGGAGCUCAAUAUGCAACGAGUUGCAUAUUGACGAAACGCCACAAUAAUUAUUUAGUUCUCUCUCAUUUAUGUACCCAACAAUAUUAAAUGUUAUUAAACAUGGCAAGGGGUGAAGCAUAUGAAAACUACCUAUCUAGGCAAGUUUAAAUGAGGCCGGAACAACAAACAACAAUUCCAGAAAAUCCUGAUGUGCAUAUUUUAGAUUUGGUACUGUUCUGCCAUAAACACAAUUUUAACAUUGUUAAAUAGAAAAAUAAAAUGCACCAAGUUAAUCUAUGCAUUUUUCUACCCCAUUUACAUCUAAAGUUUAUUUAAAUCUGAGCUACGGUUAUUUAGUUAUGAAAUAAAUCAUUUUAACAUGGCAUUUAUACAAAUUUAAACAAACAACAAGUUUAAACAUUUUUAACAUGGAUGAAAGUAGCAUAUUAUGAACCUAGAUUAAAUUCUAAGCAUUUUACAUAUUUAAAACAUUUUAAUCCGAUGCACGGUUUGUGAGAUAUUAAAUGCAUGAACAUAAGGGUUUUUCUGUAAAACUGCAGUUCUUCGGAUAAUGCUAAAAUCGCAGGAGCAGGAAAAAAACAGAACGGGCUGAAACUAGUUGGCCCGUUAGUUCAUAGGGGGAUGGAUCUUAGGCGGCUGCUCACAUUGGGCCAAAUGGCUGGCGGGGAAGCAGAGCGGGUGGGCUUGGAGCAGAAGCUGGGCCUUGACGCGGUGCAGCAGAAGCGGCCCAAGGCGAAGAGGCCACGCGCGCGAGACGACAGGUCAAUGGGCACGGGCGCUGCUCGUGCGCUCGUUCACCUUGUGUGGACGAAGCAACAUGGACGGGAGCGAUGCGGGGACUUGGCGCAGGGCGGCCCGGCAGCGGGCACCCGAGGUGGAUCCGGCGAGGUCUGACCGCGGAGGCGCGCCGGCGUCGAGGUGCGGCGACAACGCGAGAUCCGGCUAGGACGCGGCUUGGACGAGGCAGCAGCAAGCUCCGGCUCUGGUUCUCUGACGGAAAAAGGAAACGAGACAGCGAUGUGAGAGGGAGAAAAGAGAAGCCGGAAAAGAAGGAACGAGCGGCGCAGGGCUCAUCUGCAGGUGGUUCUCGUCGGCGGAGGGAGCUCCGGUGGCGCUGCAGAACUUGCACGUGAACGGGGCGAAGUAGAGGAGAUCCCCUGGUGUCUCCCACGAACCGGGGUCGUAGCGAGCCAAGGGAAGGAGCUCCUGGCAUGGGGCUCUGAGGACGGGCGAGCUGCGGGACAAGAGGCUGCAGGCGCGGGGCUUCUGCUCGCCCGAGAUAGCGUGAAGCAGAGGACGAUGGACGGCGGCUUAGUGGUCACGCGUGGUCGAAGGCGCACGGGUGGCGGGGCAAAGGAGGCUGCGGGUGCCUGGAGGUUGAGCAGAGGAGCUCGACGGGGCUGGAUCGAUGGGUGGAUCAGGGAAUAUGGUUGGCUCGAUGGGGAAAACAAGGAAGGAGGAGGCGGCUUCGGUUGCUGGAAUUGGAUCGGGAUGAGAUCCCGAGGAAGAAGUGGCGGCGGCCGAGACGGGAUGGAUGGGACAUCUCCCUAGAUUUUAGGGUUGAUCUAUUUAUAUAGCAAGUGAGCUAGGUUUAGGGGUAUUUGGUCCCUCCGAUCGUAAUCAGACGGUUGAGAAAUAAAUAGGUAGGGAGUCCAAAUAAGAAAACGGAGAUCUUUUAUAGAUGUUUGGGGAUGAUCUGGACUCAACGGUCAUGACUGUGCGGGUCGGGUUCGGGAAGCAUUCGGACGUGCGCGAGGUUGCGAAAGAGAGUCCAUGGCUGUGCAAAGAGAUAAGGUGGUCAAACAAGAGGGAAACGAGAACCCGGUUGGUGUCGAAACGGACAGCGAAGACAAGGGGGACACGGCAACUACGAACGGAUGCAAGUUUUAAAACAUGACGACAACGGAGAGCCGAUGCAAUGCAAAUGAUGACAUGAAGAAACGCAACAAACAGAAGUAAAACACACGACAACAACGAAAAAUAUGGAAGGCAUCUGGAGCGUUGGUCUCGGGGCAUUACAACACUCCACCACUACAAGAGGAUCUCGUCCCGAGAUCUAGGAUGGCACCGGAGAAAAACGGAAGGGGAAGAGGUAAAACAAAGUUGCUUCUUUGAAAAACAAGUGAAACCACGAACCUUGAGAGGUUAAACAAUUUUGAGAAAAGAACAGAACGGAGAUGAUCGAAGUUGAAAACACUCCGUUGGAAAAGAGGAACAAGGAACAUUGCGAAAAAACUUGGGGUUGCAAAGACAUGAAUGAAGAGCUCCAGCAACAAGGAAGGACAUGUAACCACUCCGGUUGAAACGGAAUAAGCAAGGAAUGAGAAUGAAAGAAUGCAGGCAGCACUCCGGUAGAAAAGAGAAGCAAAACUUAAUAAGUUGAAAGAACUUGAAUGAUAGCACAACACUCCUGUUGAACGGAAAAGCAAGGAAAAGAACAUGAUCUUGAGAAAACGAGAUGAUUGGUUGAAGAGAGCAACAUCACAAGGCCUCCGGAAACAAUGCAUGAUAGUUAGAUAGUUGGAAUGAAUAGAACGAAGAAUGAAACCAACAUCUCCUACCAUAAAUGAAUUUGAAAGAGCAUCCUUACGAAGUAGGAUUGAACGGAGUUGUUUGAAAAACAACAACGGUAGGAAUAAGCUUGUAGCGGGCUUAUGGAAACAUCUCAAAAUUAUGAGGUGAGCUUCUGCCACCAACGGAAACAAAUGAUUGGAUUGAUAUCAACAAGGAGACGAGAAACUUAUUUCACCGGGAGGACAAAUGAAGAACUUGGGUCAUUUAUAAGCACCAUAAAUAGCAACAAUCCUUAGGGAAAGCUUUAGGUGAAAUAUAACCCAAGAUAACUCCAAUGAAGAGAUUGAUGGAUUUAAAAUACCUCAUUCUUGACAACAUGUGAAUCAUGAAGCAUGAAGG
RNAcentral lists this long non-coding RNA (7792 nucleotides) under Triticum aestivum (bread wheat). Its description in RNAcentral is "long non-coding RNA (TAES_LNC019171)". Lineage: Eukaryota; Viridiplantae; Streptophyta; Magnoliopsida; Poales; Poaceae. The record is from RNAcentral.